Molecule: long non-coding RNA, 1449 nt
Organism: Passer domesticus (house sparrow)
Lineage: Eukaryota; Metazoa; Chordata; Aves; Passeriformes; Passeridae
Exons: 2
Source: RefSeq, a predicted model, not a curated record
CCCUGCCGAGCCCCGGGCCCACCGGCAGCUUCAGAGCGCUGGCCGAAGCUCGGGCUGCGCCAGCUGAGUCACUCCCAAGUAAACGGCAGGUCUCGGCACAGCUGUUUGGACCAAUCAUACUUCAGGCAAAAACCAGCAAUGCUGCAAGCACACGAGUAGAUAGAAAAGAAACAUACAAACCAUGGCAAUUUCUUUGCUUUUGAGUCACUUCCCAGCACAUGCCUCCACUGCAGCUUCCUUUUGGGGUAAAUAUCGCAUUAGCUGCCAGUAAACCCUGUGGAUCCACUGCCCUUACAGUCCCGGGCACUUGGAACCUUCUUCCACCUCCUUCCACUUCCGAAGUAACUGGGAACAGCGUGUUUAUUUGCCACUGAAAUGUCAACAGAAAAGCAAACAAACAAAACCCAUCAGAGCUGCAAGCCUGACUUGGAGAUUCUAGUUCCCACACACCAAGAGAGCACGAGGAAGCUUUCCCAAUAUUUAGAGACUUUAUAAGCUGACAGACAACAUGCAUGGUUUUCAUCCAGUUUUCAGGGAAACAUGCACACGUUCCAGUUCCUGGACCAGUCACUCUGCAAAGCAUCUGGAAAUGGUCUACAUCCAUAACAGAAAUGCAGAUAAAAAGGGAAUGAGGAUUUGCCACAAGAAGUUGAAAACAGAAGUAUGCUGUCAUCCCUAGCAAGUGCUGGAAAGCAAUGGGCAAUGGCAUCAGCAACGAAGAUAAAACCAAGGAAAAAAUGUAUAAUGUCUGGCUACAGAGUCAUAGAAUGUGGUGGAGUUUUGGAGGUCCACUCCCCGCUCCAGCAAAAUCUCCCAAGAGUCAGGGGCUCAGGACCCUGUCCAGACGGCUCCGAGUACCUCCAGCGAUGGAGGUACCACAGCUCUCUGGCCUUUCCUUAUGCACCUCUCCUGCACGGCUCUGAACACAGCAGUUUCUGCCCUUAUCUGUUUAAUACGCGCUUUCAUUAUACAACACUGAAUGUUCACAGAAGUUCAUUAUUUUUAAGAACCACAAGCAGGUCUUGCACUGAAAUUCACCUACUUAUCAAGGAUGUCUCCCUUCACCUGCCUGAUACAGUUCUGUCUUCAUCCAUCCUGGGAGACAACUUUGUCUUCACACACCUCAGUGACACUACAAUCAUAGUAACAGCCUACAAGGACAAGCAUAUCCACACAACAUUCAUGUAAUCUAUGAAAAAGUGGGAAAGGAACUACAGAUCUUUCUUUUCAGAGAUAAGUAAAAGGUGCACAAUGGUCAUAAAUAAAUACUUUAAUAUUUAGUAAGGGCAGCUGAAAAGGGUAUUUUCCUUUUUGCUAAAAGGCUGUCCCACAAGACAAAUGAGAACUGGCUUCAGAGCCUGGCAAGCAGUGGAGCCAGGAUCAAGCCUGUCCUCCCAGCCCAGAAAAACAACACUGCCAGUUCAUGAAAAUAAACUUGUUUUAGCAGAA